AUUGAACGCUGGCGGCAUGCCUUACACAUGCAAGUCGAACGGCAGCACGGGAGCUUGCUCCUGGUGGCGAGUGGCGAACGGGUGAGUAAUACAUCGGAACGUGCCCUGAAGUGGGGGAUAACGUAGCGAAAGUUACGCUAAUACCGCAUAUUCUGUGAGCAGGAAAGCAGGGGAUCUUCGGACCUUGUGCUUUAGGAGCGGCCGAUGUCGGAUUAGCUAGUUGGUGAGGUAAAGGCUCACCAAGGCGACGAUCUGUAGCGGGUCUGAGAGGAUGAUCCGCCACACUGGAACUGAGACACGGUCCAGACUCCUACGGGAGGCAGCAGUGGGAAUAUUGCACAAUGGGGGAAACCCUGAUGCAGCAACGCCGCGUGAAUGAUGACGGCCUCGGUGUAAGUACUUUGAUUGGGACGAAAGUAGAGUACCCGAAAAACAAACGACCACGACGUAACUAACGUACGACCGACGCAGCCCGCGGUAACGUAGACGUACGUAACGACUA
This 502-nucleotide ribosomal RNA is filed under the name uncultured bacterium. RNAcentral's name for it is "bacterial SSU rRNA". It matches the Rfam family "Bacterial small subunit ribosomal RNA", at positions 34 to 540 of the family's 1533-position model. The record is from RNAcentral.